UCUGCCGCUAAAUGGGUUGCAGGUGUGGCUGCUGUGUCACAUGUGUUGGGACGUGGCAGAGAGAAGUGAGAGGCUGUGCCUACCCUCAGCGUUCUGACCCAUGAACAUCUGAAUGCUUAGUAGCUUAACAUU
This is a small nucleolar RNA of Meriones unguiculatus (Mongolian gerbil), 132 nucleotides long. The record is from Ensembl. Lineage: Eukaryota; Metazoa; Chordata; Mammalia; Rodentia; Muridae.